CUAGCUUUGCCCAAGUCAAACUUCUCUUCUUUUGAUCAAGUCUUACAAAUGAGCUAAUAUGUACAACAUCAAUUAACAAAAACAUAUUUUAUAAUGAAUCUAAUAAAACUAAUUUAGUGUUGUAGAUGUUGUCACAUUUUUCUGUGGACUUGGUCAAACUUAAGGAAGUUUGACUUAGGACAAAGUUAGA
Molecule: microRNA precursor, 190 nt
Filed under: Triticum aestivum (bread wheat)
Lineage: Eukaryota; Viridiplantae; Streptophyta; Magnoliopsida; Poales; Poaceae
Description: MIR1435 microRNA precursor family
Rfam family: MIR1435 microRNA precursor family
Source: Rfam by way of RNAcentral